RNAcentral lists this long non-coding RNA (2128 nucleotides) under Malus domestica (apple). RNAcentral describes it as "long non-coding RNA (MDOM_LNC016921)". Lineage: Eukaryota; Viridiplantae; Streptophyta; Magnoliopsida; Rosales; Rosaceae. The record is from RNAcentral.
GAAAUCAUAAAAGCGAUAUAAGAUCGUUUUGGGCUUAAAGAAACGUUCGGGUUUAAUUGGGCCCAUUGGGCCUAGACCCAUUGGGCUUUUAUUCAAGCAUAGGAUGAUUUGAAAUAAUAAAAGCCCAAAGCCCAAACCAAACACUAAAGGCCGACCACUUAAAGGGAAAGGGAGAGAGUGGAAGUCAAGUUGUUGACUAGGUUUCUUUUUGUCUAUAUAAGGAACUUUAUAGAGAUAAUUUUCAUAAGGGUUUUUGUGUGUUAAAACAACAAAAGAGAAAAAAGAAAAUAUCUCACUAAAACACCCAAAGGCCGGCCACCAUUAGGGAGUGUGAGCUAAUCAUCUUAUCUCCCUUUUGGUCAUUCAUCCAUUCAUCUCACUACACUAGUGGGUGUGGAUCUUUAGAGGUCUUCUACUUUGGAGACUAAAGGAGAGCCAAAGGAGCACUCAUACUAACAAAGUGGAGGAGGCAAGGAGGGAGGCUAGGCUCAAGGAGUUCAAGGAACAAAGGGCUUGGAGAUGGUCCAUCCUUGGUCUAAAAUCUAGAUCAAGAGAUAUAGAUCUAUUCCUACACUUUGUUCUUAACUUAAAUGUUUUGAUGCAUCAUAUAUAAACCUAUGAACCUUGAAGGGGAUUUGCAUGACUAUAGCUUUGAUAUUAUUUGAUACAUGCUUCCGUUGCUUUCGUAUAUAAAUUUUGAAUUGUAUAUGCAUGCUAGUCUUUUUGAAAUCCCAUAUGAAAAUCUCAUAGAUUUCCCUUCAAGUGGUAUCAGAGCCAAAGGUUUAUAUAUUAUUUGUCCUUUUGGAUUUUAUGCAUAUGGGUUUUAAUUUAAUGUUUGACAUAUUAUUUCUUCAUUCAAAGUAUGUUUAUCUUUUGUUUUUCAAAUGUUGAAAAAUGUGAAUCAAAUGUUGAAAAGAUAUGCAUGCAAAAAGGUGUUUUGGAUGCAUGAAUGAAGAUUGAGUUUUGAACAAGUUUGACAUGUUAUUGCUUCAUUUAAAAUAUGUUUAUCUUUUGUUUUUCAAUAGUUGAAAAAUGUGAAUCAAUAGUUGAGAAAGAUAUGCAUGCAAAAAGUGUUUUGUAUGCAUGAAUGAAGAGUAAGUCAUGAACAAAAUUUGGGGUUUUGUUCCAUAGGGUAGGCACGGUUUUGGGGUGGUUUUUGGCAUGUGUUUUUGUUUUAUUGUAAGACACUCACACAUCCUUUUAAAGCUAGAAAGUAGAAACCUUGUCACUUUUGUUUUUGGGUUGAAAAAUCACCAAGAAUAUACAAAUCUUGAAAAUGUGUUCAUGGUUUUGUUCUUGGUGUUCAUGGUUUGUUUUUGGUGAAAAUGGUUUUAUUUGGUUUUCAUGCAUUGUUUUGUGGUUUUGGAUGAUGUUCAUACCAUCCAUAACCAUAUCAUAAAUUUAUAAAACCCUAGACUUGACUAGGAGAUUUCCAUCACCCCUUUUCACCUAAGUCUUUAAAGCCAAAACCAAGUGACAAGCAAAAUUUAAUUUUUUCUACUUUGCAUUGAAUUAAAGCUUUAUGGGUGAGACUUCCCAUCUCACCUUGUAAUGGCCGGCCUCCCCUAGUGGAUUUCCCACUUGUGGGGUUUUUUUUGUAAUUUGGAAAAAGUUGUUUUUACUUUUGAAGUAUUUACGGUUUUACCUCUAACUUUUUCAUAUUUGCAUUUAGGUCCUUACUAACUAGAAAGUUAAAAUAUUUGAUUUUAAUUUUGUUAGUUGUUUAAACUCAUAAUACUAUUAUGCCCAUAUGCACUAAAUCUAAAUGUUUAUGUUGCAUUCCAUUUAAUUAUUUAAUGUGAUUAAGUAGUUAGAAAAUGGGUGACUAUGGACUUAUGCCUUAAACGAUAAUUGAGCUAUAAGAUAAGGCACUAAAAUCAAAUUGUUUGAACCUUGGGAAUGUGUUUUAAUUACUGUUUCAAUUGGACCUUGUCACGUUGGACAUUAAUCUAUCUCUCCCUCUUAGUAUGUGUAAUUUGUAAGAAUUUGUACAAAUCGGUUUGUAAUUCUUAUUACUUCUUAAUCUGUUUUAGUUAGUUGAUUCCCUCUAGUACUAGACUAGAGUUUCUUUAACUAUUGGUAAGGAGACAUAACUAAAAGAGGGUUUUGACAUGAGAUUAAAGAUUAA